AGGAGCUUGCUCCUGUGGAAAGUGGCAGACGGGUGAGUAACGCGUGGGAAUCUACCCAAUGGUUCGGAAUAACUCCGGGAAACGGGAGCUAAUACCGGAUACGCCCUUCGGGGGAAAGAUUUAUCGCCAUUGGAUGAGCCCGCGUCGGAUUAGCUUGUUGGUGAGGUAAAAGCUCACCAAGGCGACGAUCCGUAACUGGUCUGAGAGGAUGAUCAGCCACACUGGGACUGAGACACGGCCCAGACUCCUACGGGAGGCAGCAGUGGGGAAUAUUGCGCAAUGGGGGAAACCCUGACGCAGCCAUGCCGCGUGAGUGAAGAAGGCCUUAGGGUUGUAAAACUCUUUCACCGGUGAAGAUAAUGACGGUAGCCGGAGAAGAAGCCCCGGCCAACUCCGUGCCAGCAGCCGCGGUAAUACGGAGGGGGCUAGCGUUGUUCGGAUUUACUGGGCGUAAAGCGCGCGUAGGCGGGCUGGUCAGUUGGGGGUGAAAUCCCGAGGCUCAACCUCGGAACUGCCCUCAAUACUGCCAGUCUUGAGUUCGAGAGAGGUGAGUGGAAUUCCUAGUGUAGAGGUGAAAUUCGUAGAUAUUAGGAAGAACACCAGUGGCGAAGGCGGCUCACUGGCUCGA
Molecule: ribosomal RNA, 628 nt
Filed under: uncultured bacterium
Lineage: Bacteria
Description: bacterial SSU rRNA
Rfam family: Bacterial small subunit ribosomal RNA
Source: RNAcentral